Molecule: ribosomal RNA, 496 nt
Filed under: uncultured bacterium
Lineage: Bacteria
Description: partial 16S ribosomal RNA
Rfam family: Bacterial small subunit ribosomal RNA
Source: RNAcentral
GAUGAACGCUGGCGGCGUGCCUAAUACAUGCAAGUCGAGCGAACAGAUGAGGAGCUUGCUCCUCUGACGUUAGCGGCGGACGGGUGAGUAACACGUGGAUAACCUACCUAUAAGACUGGGAUAACUUCGGGAAACCGGAGCUAAUACCGGAUAAUAUAUUGAACCGCAUGGUUCAAUAGUGAAAGACGGUUUUGCUGUCACUUAUAGAUGGAUCCGCGCCGCAUUAGCUAGUUGGUAAGGUAACGGCUUACCAAGGCAACGAUGCGUAGCCGACCUGAGAGGGUGAUCGGCCACACUGGAACUGAGACACGGUCCAGACUCCUACGGGAGGCAGCAGUAGGGAAUCUUCCGCAAUGGGCGAAAGCCUGACGGAGCAACGCCGCGUGAGUGAUGAAGGUCUUCGGAUCGUAAAACUCUGUUAUUAGGGAAGAGCAAAUGUGUAAGUAACUAUGCACGUCUGGACGGUACCUAAUCAGAAAGCCACGGCUAACUACGU